Molecule: long non-coding RNA, 444 nt
Filed under: Dromaius novaehollandiae (emu)
Lineage: Eukaryota; Metazoa; Chordata; Aves; Casuariiformes; Dromaiidae
Description: lncRNA (ENSDNVG00000007307.1)
Source: RNAcentral
CUCCAGAUUCUUCCCAACUCUGCAGUGAGCAUUUUCUGGUUUUGCUCUUAUUUUUCAGGAGAGCUGACCUGUGCUACAUGGUGACACACGGACAUUUGACAACAUUACRGAAGGUCUGUGCCUCAGCUGUUCCCAUCGACUUCUACAGGACGUUCUGUCUAUCGGAUCUUUGGACAUGUAAAAUUACUGUAACGACACUUGCAUAUUCCAGCUGAGGAUCUCAGUAAAUACAAGAUUGGUCAGUUAUAAACAAACUUCUUUGCUCAGAGAGAGGAAGAGAAUGCAAGGGAAGAUGAUGGUUAUUAAAGGUAAGAAGUAAUUUAAAUAAUUCAGUUUUCUGUUAAAAUGUUCGUAUGCAAAGCAAGAUUUCUUCAUAUGAGCAGUUUCCUGUUUGCUUAUUCAAAGAAAUGGUUUCACCAACAGUGAUAAUGACCCUCAGUACAG